RNAcentral lists this long non-coding RNA (1026 nucleotides) under Sus scrofa (pig). Its description in RNAcentral is "lncRNA (ENSSSCG00070012566.1)". The record is from RNAcentral. Lineage: Eukaryota; Metazoa; Chordata; Mammalia; Artiodactyla; Suidae.
AUGUCCAUGCCCAGCAGCGGGGCCCACCCACAGGACGUGGGGGUAUCCCCGGAACCCCCAUCCGGACACUUGUCCCCCAGCCCUGCCCUAGAGUCGCCAGACCCAGCGCUCUCAGGGCCAUCUGGUCGACCCGGGGAGCGUGACCGCAAGGAAGGGACAGGGACAGGAAGGAGGUGGAGCCGGCCGGCCAGCCGGGGAAGCCCUUCCCGGCUUGCCCACGCGGGCAGGUAUCGGUCUGUCCGGAGCUCCAGACGGGGACUUGGCUCCCCCAAAAUCCAGGACACACCAUCCAGCUCAGGCCGGUCCCCACCUCCCGACAGAUCGACCGACCGACAGGGAAACACUCCGAGGGCGGGGGGGCGGGGGGGGGGGAAUGAGAGCGUGGGAAACGAAGUCUUGUCCAACGACCGGGACCCUACAUGGGCACGCCUCAGGCCCAGGUGCACCCUUCCCGGCCACACCCGGGAGCAGGGGGCCGGCGGGGUACCAUCCACCAUCUCCGGAUCCAUCAGGACUUGGAAAAAAAAUGUUUCCACGGAGGCGCCUCCGACGAACGGACCCCGCGAAGGAAGGCGCCGGGGCCCGAGCCACCCUUUCCGCUCCACCCCUCACGGCUUGUGCCGGUCUAGACCUCGUCAGUACGACUCCGCACGGGCCGGCGGUAGCCAUCAGUCGGGGGGCAGGGGGGGAGGGACCCAUGCCGGCAUGACGACCGGGAAACAAGCGUGCCGGCCACCGAGCCUGUCGCGCCCUCCAACGCCCUCACAGCGCACAGCCCGGGCCGCUCCUCACUUCGGGGAUGAGAGGCUGGAGGGACGGCGGGCGGGAGUCAUUCACGCUCCAAAGGGCGACCCGGGACAAGGCCAGGCCACCCGAGCACAGGCAGUCCCGGGCGCCGCACACCCUCUCCCCUCGCUAGGGAGGCGGCCCGGCCCAGGCCUGGUCGGUCCCCGGGCCGGAGCGGCAAGAGCGGAUGCUGGUCGACCCGGCCAGGCGGCCCCAGAACCUGCCUGGGGAGCGCGGUGA